CUCUAUCAAGGUCAAUUAAAAGAAUAACUAAUAAGCAAAGGAAAGGAAGAAAGAUAUCUUUUAUUCAAUGUCAUGGUCACAAUCAUGUGCCUUAUAACUAAAAUUUACACAUUGGUCAUGGAGGUCACAAUACUUUGAUAUCCACCAAAGCUCCACACUACCAAGGUUGCAAUCUCAACUUUUAUAUUCAUAUUCAUCUACAUAAGUCACACAAAGUCACACAAAGCAUUACGAAUUACGAAGUUCACUAGAUCAUGUAUUCGCUAGAUCACACGGCAGCAAAACCAGAAGAAGACGAACAAAAAAGUAACAGCUGAAGCCACCGCAAACCUAUUUCAAGUCACAGAUGCAAUCCAAUUAAUGCUUUCAUGACCUCUGGGUAGAAAUCAUACGUAAAUUCUAACCAUGGAGGAACAUGGACAAAGUAACGACGAGCGUCCACUUCAAAUUGCUCAGGGGCAAGAACGAUCCUCCACAUCCGGAAAGAAAACAACACCUCAAUAAUCGGGGUAAUCAACACGCAGUAUGAAAAGAUCAGCUGGGCAGAUGAAGUGGAAUCGAAAACUGACAGCGGUACAUACGUAGAGCAGAAUCGGUGUCUGAGAGAUGGAAAUCUGCAGAGCGAGAGAGAGAGAGAGAGAGAGAGAGAGAGCAGCAACGCCAGAGAUUGCACAAGAGCGAGAAGCGCAAUCAAAAACCUCGACGACGAAACAGGGGAAGCUCUCCGGAACCCUACCGGUCCUUGCUUUGUCAACUGAGAGCCUUGCGUUCCAUUUCUGGUGGCGCGGUCCUUCUCGUUCUCCACAACGUGCGUGUCGAUCAGAUCUGUGUUGCGGUCACGACAAAGGUAAUCUUGCUGUAGGUAGCCCGUCCUUAGAGUCGCUUGUUGAAUUGGUGUUAUUAAGAUGGUUAUUGCGAGUUUGUCAUUUAGGUUGUCUGAAGGGUUACGCGGUCGAACAAAGCAGUCUGAGCAGAGAACGCGUGAAAUACAGAAUUGUGAAACAUAAGCACACUGUUAGAUCAUGAAGUAAAUGAUGACCUAUGCUGGUUCCGUAUGGAUUGGACUAAGUAUUGGCACAAGGGCAGAAUUGUCGCGUCGGAGGAAGUGAUCACGUGGGACGGAGAAAGGCAUGACGCUGGCGAUGUUGUCACGCACUGGAACAAUAUCUCAUCCUUCAUCCGGGCUGACGAGAGAAAAUUAGGGCCACCAUUUUGCCAGAUGGUGGCUCUUGUUACUGUUCAUGGUUUGUAAUUUCACUUGCCAUCGUACAAACUGGAAAGCAAUAUGGAUGGAUGGAGAUGGAAUGGCUAAAGACAAGAUUGGGUAGGUGAAAUUGCGACCCAGACGCUGCAGCUCAUGUAGUGCCCACGUCUCGCCUAUCUUUCCCUUUCGCUGCUUAGCGUAUUUGACCUACCUGCCCGCGCUCUCUGUGGCACUGGCUUGGUUGAUCCUUUGGCGACCACACACGAGGUCCAUCAUUUGCUGGCUUCUUUAGCAAGCUUUCCGAGAACCCUUCCCGUGCCUAGUUUGGUUUGGCGUGUCUUUGGGUUCUGUUUCUGACGUCUGAUGGCAGGAGGGGGAUUUGAGGAUUCGCAGGGUAGCCUACCCACAGCAUCAUGCUUGGCUGAUUCCGUCUAGUGUUUGCGCCUUGAUGGGUGCAUGAGUCGAAGUUCCAUGUCCACUCAAUCCAUUCAGCUUGGACUUUCUCUGUGUGGCUAUUAUUCCCGGUAAAGGUGACCCGAGGAUCCCUUUCGUCUGGUUUGGUAAUAGGAUUUUUGUAUUGGAAUCUACGCUCAUCACGUGUAUUGCGGAGGUCAGUCAUGCUCACCUCGCCAGCCCACGGCCAUGCCUUCCGUACUUCGGUGCUCGAAUCUCUUUUGCCCCAGGUUCGCUGCUGCCGUUGCGCCUCACCUCGCCACCGGCAGUCGACGCUCAAGACCGACAUCAACAUUCUUACGUAAAUUCUCCACAACGGUACGUCCAUGUCACGGAGGAGAUAGAGCGGCUUCCAGAUUUGGGGAAAUGAAGGUUGCGAAGGAAGGAAAGAAUCAACCUUUCAGCUUGACGUUGUCCUCGACGGAUUCGGACUCCCAAUCCGACGAUGUUUCUGCCCUUUCUCAUGUGAGGCGACGACGCCUUUUUUCCUUGUCAUUUUCUUCUCCUGAUCUAUGCAGGGAGACUAGGGCGAGGGCAGGGCUUGGAACACUUUAGAAUGCGGGGUGCCACAUUUUUUUAGUGUCAUAGUUUAAUGAGCUACAGAAUUUGGUAUUCUUUCCAUGCACUUUAGAUACUCGAUUUUGGGUAACUUUGAACGGUGAUUGACAGAAUACUUGUAUAGCUCGGCAGCAAUGCAAUUCCAAAGAAGUUGAACCAAUCGAAUGGAACUCUAGCUCGCAGUUUACACUCAUCUAUCCUUAGGCACAUUAUUGCAUUCCCGACAAUACAGUUUUUCGACGAAAGAAUUUGAAUUUGCACCUUGAAAGUAUUGGGAUGCUGUGUGUGUUUGUGUGUGAAAAACCUGUGGUAGCUCUUAGCUUCAUCUCUAUCCAUACAGUGAACGGAGGUGCACUGGAUAUUAGAGACCCCCAACUUGAAGCUUACCUUCCCAAAUCGCUUUUAGUGAUAUGAUCUGGAGUUCUUUAUAAGAAAUGGAUAGCACUAGGCCUCCUCACUUCAAGGCAGGGUUGCUCUUCGCAUCUACUUAUUGUGACUUGGAAUAUGUACUCAGAUUAUGGAGCCCAUUCAUGAGGGCGAUACAGACUUGCUCUUGGUGUUCUGUCCAGGAACAUUUCAAACCUCGGAGAACUACUUCCCAUUGAUGCACACGAUACAAUCCCAACUUAAGCUGCGGCUGUGGAUCGUCGUGUUGCACAAUACCGACCAAGAUGUACUGAGCACAUCCAAAGUCGACGCCAGCCUCACGGGUGUGUUGGCACUUUUGAAGGAACGUGGGUAUCGCCCUGGCAGCAAUGAGAUUGAAAAUAUAUUUGUAGCUGGCCACAGGUGCGUUUUCGUUGAGAUUCCCCAUGCUCUUCGCGUCACAAGUUUGCAUGUGAUACGUUGCAAACCUAUCAGGUUCAACUUGGCCAUCUCCGUUUCAGUCCCAAUGGUAAUGAGUGGUAUUUCGGGGAAUGUCCAGCUUUGGGGCAUGGGUAUCGAGGGCAGUGGCCGUGAGACGAGCACAAGCGUUUAUUCAGAUAGGAUGUUACUUCGAUUCAGAAAAUGACAACCUCGCUCAACAUCCCAAGCCCGUGCUCACUCUGUGUGGCGCACUCGACGGCCAAGUGACACUGGCAGCAAUUGCUAAGCACGCUGGAGAAGUUGCUGCUACCGAGCAAUACCUCGGCCGGUACAACACGUAUGCUGUGAAGCCGGUGAUCUUCAUUUCGGGCAUGAAUCAUGCGCAUGCCUCCAACGGACGUCUGAAUUUGGAACGAGGUGACCUACAAGCAACCAUCAGCAUUGAUGACGCUCGUCAUCGUGUUGCAGAGCUUGUGACCGCAUUCUUGGCAGUGCAGGCGAAAGGCCCGAACGAAGCAGAGGGCGCUCGUGGGCUGGAGAUAUUGACUAGAGGUGUAGAUGACACACAUGCUAGGUACCGGGCGUUAUGGGAAUCGAUAGCAAAUCAAGAAGGAGAUGCUGUUGCGCACCAACUGCACAUAGCCUCGCUUCCUUCAUUAUGCCCUGAAAACAUUACCAGCAUUCACCACGAUUUUCGUGACAAUUUUGUGAUCUCAAAACCAUGGAUUGACACUGGCAUGAACCGAGUGUUCAUUACGACCUACUUAUCCCCUGCCGAGAAGCAAGGCAUCUGUAACUUGUGGGUGAAGAUGAAAAGCCGUGAAGCAUUGUUGCCUCAUUUUGGCGCAGGAGAUGAUGCUGGAGCUCGAUACGACCCAGCAGCAAUUCUAACCUUGGGCAAGGAGAUUAAUACAAAAACCUUCGACGCAGCUUUAUCCUUAGUUUCUGAGGACGCUCGUGAAAAGUUCAUGAAGAUGGGGAAGAAGCUGCAAUUUGUUGACGAUUCGUUAAUGCAAAGCGCUGUAUCCUGGAUUGAGAGCGAUUUGAGCUUUACUCCCACCGAAAGUGGCGAUGUCGAAGUGAGAACACCUAUUCUAUACAGCCCUGCGAAUAUAAAUCCUCGCUUUGCAGGUAUGCAUUACAUGAAAGUCCUGACCCUCGCGAGGGCCAUCCAUUGGAUUCUACUCAGUUCGUUUCGGUGAAUGCGAGGUCAGCAGGUGAUCAGUUUUCGAAUCGUGCACCCGCAUCUCAAGGUCAUCUAAUCUCAUCUGUAUGUAAGUCCUGUUUGUCAGUAAAAACCUUAAUACCAACACUCUUCUACGCCAUUGUCAGCACCGCACAUAUUUAUCUCUGAUGCGAGGCUGAGAGUUUGCACACUGUCAUUCCCAAUCGUAUGACAGCUUGUAGUAACAGCACAUCACAAAGUAUGCAGCUCACCAAAGAACGUAUCAAAAUAGCACACGUUAUUUUGCGUCCAGAUGGGUUAUUCCAAGCUGACAUUAUGUCAUGAUAUUGACGUAAAUUAAUUGCGUAACUGGUGAUAAGCUUUUUAUUCUAAACAAUACAGCCACCUGACAUCUUGAGAUCUGACUGUACUUAAACAAUCACACCUUAGAAAACUCCCUUGUGAAUUUUAAAACUGUGUGCAAGCUGAUGACUGGGAAUUACUGUUUAUCAAUUCGAGAAAACUCUUCGAAAGUCCUCUGGUGCUCCAGCAACGCGCCGCUUCAAUCAAUGCACCUUCAACCACGGGAGUCCCCACCGUGUGCGCAGUGCGGAUGAGAAAAUGGUUCAUAUCAAUGUAAACCUCGUCACUGUCCACAAAAAUGUUCCUGCAGCACUUGAUGCUGCUUGCCGCUUUCAUGUCACUUUAGGCCUUCGCUUCACGAUUUCAGCUGCCCAUGCUUUUCCAAGAUCGGUUUGAAAUUUUCCUGAACCCGCAUCGUUUCCACAAGGUUACUGAAGUGUCCAAGCCCAGAAUCCAACUUGAAGAUAGUAACAGAGCCAACCAAAUCAGACAUCUAUGCACCCUCGUUUGACUCUUUUGUCUUCUGUCUGUUGAGAUAAAUCCUAAACUACCGAUUCAUUUAAAUCCGACUCACUACCGACAGCUGUAUUGCACUAAAAUUACAGCCAAACACCUCUCAGAUUAAAAGACGCGUCUAAGCCAAACAAACUGAAAAACACCUAGAGCUAUGAGGCUAUGAACAAGGCGAAAGUAAAAUGGAGCUACCUUUGGUGGAUUGAAAGAAGUCAUCCAGUACCUUGUCUUGCUCUGCAAUCAUAAACCAGAUUCGUAAAAUCUCCACACAAUAAACUUGAGAAACAUUUAGUUCUUGCAGGAAUCUACCGUACGUUAUUUCUACAGCGUCCUAUCUGAUUAUAGCAUUAGACAUGCAUUAGCAACAUGUCAAGCACUAUCUGUUCACGGACGUCACUUCAGCAAAUAAGUAUACUGGAUUAAGAAUUUUUCACUCACCUUUUUCGUAUUCCACAGCUUGCAAGAUCAUCUCCAACUGCACAAGUGAUCAGUGAGUGGAUGAAUAACCACUUCGCGUAAAAAGCUCCACAACUUUCCUUAUAGUAGCAGAUUGCACUUUCUAGACACAUGCGUUUGUAUAUCCCACGAAGAAAGACUAGUAACACAAGAACAUCCUUCUUUUUAAAGCUAGAUUAUGUUCAUUGUCUUAAAUAAGUCGGUAUGUUGAAUACUUUAAUUAAACACACCUUGUCCAAGUCUUUAACAAAUUUGGCUUCAGGAGUGCUGUUAUUCUCGUACUCCUGCCAUAGCUCCCUCACUUCAUCCGCUGCAUAAUCAAAAUCCAUCAUCAUAACAUAGCUGAAAACGAUACAGUGCAGUACUUAACGUAAAAAUGGUCGAACCCAUGAGUAAGCGCGAUCCUGGAAAGCGUCAAAAGUUACACUGAUACCCACCGUAACGCGCGAUGUUUCCAUAUUUAUUUUCUUCAUGACACAGUUCAAGCUUAACCAGGUCUAAAUUUUCCUCACCUCCCAUUCCACCUUCAAGUAACUGGCACAUUUCAUCGAUUGCAGCACUUUCUAGUCUAUUCUUCUCUUCUUUAGGAACAUUGUCAUUGGGCGUAAUGUCACCCACAAUGGCUGUUAUAAAAAUAAAAGUCAAUGUUCAGUCUGGAGUGAUAAUGCCGCAUGUAUGGUGUAAGUAGACACUAUCUGAACACAAAAAUUAUAUCCGAGGAUGAAAUAAAGCUACUUGAGACAUUUCUAAACAAUAUAAAAACAUCACUGCAUUAAGUGACCUAAUAUGCACUCGAGAUAGGAAAAUUGAACCUUACCCUCGGCAAUGUCAUGCACCACGGCCAUCUUUACACACCUGCAUUGCCAUGAAGGUGAUGAACACCAAGCAAAAUUUUACAAUAAAAAUCUCAAGUAGACACCUACUAUUUGAAUAACUUGCUCGAAAGGGCACAUUCAAUCAACGAAGUGAGAUGAUGCUCACCUAUCUUUGUUCACACCUGGUAAAUCUCCUGAGAUAAUAGCCAUGACUGCCAUGCGGUACAUAUGGUCAGCAAUAGAUUCCGAAUCCUUCACGCCGUGAUUUACCCACCCUGUUCUCUUUGUAGUCUGCAUGGUAAGGGGAAAACAGCAAGGUCACAAACAAGAAGUUUUUAUUACUGUUUUUCAAUUAAAGCACUGUUGAAGUAUACAUAACAUCGACAAAUAUCAGCAACUCGCCUAAGAUCUUCUCUGUCAGAUACAAGCAGGACGAACGGCUAAGUGCAAAGCUCUAGCCCAAAGCUCCAGAAAUAAUCGAUAAGGCAAAAAUUUGGGAAAGUACAUUGCUGAUCAUGUAAAAUUAGCCUUUAAAAGGAAACAAAGAAUUUAAUCCGAAAACCUCCAUUAAUAAUUCCACAUUGGAACAAAAAGAGGCACGAUUCUUCUAUCGGUAGAUACGUUGAUUCCCAAGAGAUGUGAUCAUGUUUGCCAAGGUUGUACGUGUACAGCAGCUUAAAAAUGCCUACACCGGACGGUAGAUUACACCUUGAGUCACUCUAAUGCACCAAUCACGCACAUCACACCUCGAACAUGAGAACGCGAGAUCAAAACCUAAUUCGCCCAGACAACAAUGGUCGUUUCAUGUCAACAUUCCAGAACUUGGGUUCAUGAACCGAAUAUCUGAAAAGCAGACUACAAAUUCGAUUGCCUCACGAUGGAGCUUCGUGCAAUUACUCGAGCACAUUAAUUUUAUUAAAAAAAAGGGGGGGGGGUCCAUAUAUAUUUAAGACCACACUGCAUUUACCUUGAGACGCUGAAUAAGCGUGAGAAACUGGAUCGCGGAAGCAGGCGACAAUGACACGCUAGAAUUAUUUUCGAACGCAGUAGCGCCAUCGCUCCCCAAAGAAUUCAUAGCAGACACUGCUGCGCCCGCUCCAUUCUCGAACUUCAGCGUCGAGAAGCCUCGUAAAAACCACCUGGAGACGGGUAGCGAAGACGCAAGGCCAGCAGCGACGCCAGAGCGCAACAGAGGAGCAGCAGGCACAGAAGAAGAAGAAGAAGAAGAAGAAGAGAGUCCCUCGUAUGAGGAGGGGAAGGAGGACGGGGAGGAGACGCGCAGAUGCGGAAUUCUUCGGUGCCAGGAGGAGCAGGAGGAGGAGAGGGACGCUGCGAGAGGCAUGCGCACCAGCAGCACGGCCCCGCCCGGAAGUAGUAGCCCCAUGCCUGCCUGCCUGAAUGAAUGCCUGAAUGCUUCUGCUGGAGCUCCUCGUCGUCCUCCUCCCCCUCCUCCCUCCCUCCGUGUGGCGCGGGCUUCGUCCUCCGCUGCUCUUCUCUCUCUGUUUCUUUCUUUCUUUUCCUCCUCCCCUCCCCGAUUUGUAUUUCUCGCCGUCGUCUCUCUCGCGUGCGCGUGUUUUUGGAGCCCCUUUCGGUGCUCGCAACAAACGUUCCUUGAUGAUAUAAAUAAAAAUAUAGAUAUAUAUAUAUAUAUAUAUGUCAGUGAGUUUUGGCACCCCCGCACCCCCCACCCCCACCCUUUCUCCCAGAGGGUAUGUGUCUCUCUUGGCUACCAGGAGGGAGUGACGGAGUGAGUGAUAGUGAGGGUGUGCGUCCUCUCCCUUCCCUUACACAGUGAGCCAGCCCCCCCCCCCUCGCUCGCUAUUUCUGGUAGUCCGGCCCACUUCGGGCUCUCGCUUCAUAUUCUUCGAAUAUACUAUUACUCCGGAGAAGAAUGUGUGAAUAUGGCGUAAUACUCUGUAACAAAAUAAAAUAACUAAAUGUUUGGAAUAGAUUUCUAUUGGAUGUGUAAAUGUACUGAAGAACAGUUCUAUACUUCACUUAAACUUGAAAAUUGGUAUCAGAUUGGAUAUAAACAUUGUUACACAUAGACAAACAUAGGGUGUUACUAAUGCCACCACUGCUUUUUCUACUACCAUUUGCCAUUCACCUCACACCAUAGUUUUUGCUAUUGGCACCACAACCCACCAUCCUCUGAACAUAUUUUUUUUUAUUAUUUUUAUUCCAAUCAAAAAAUAUGUUAAUAUUUCAAUCUUUUUUUCAAUUUAUAUAUAAAAAAAUAGUUUUAAUUUUAAUUUUAAAAAUUAAUUGAAAAGUUAAUAUGAAUAAAAAGUUGUGGUGGCAAGAACAAAAGUUAUGGUAACAUGAGAUGAUUGGCAAAAUGUGGUGGCAAUAACAAAAAUUGUGAUGGCAUUAGCAACAUCCUGUUUAAUAUUUUGUUUUUGUUUUACUCAAUGAUUGAAAGUGUCAUUGCUUCAAGACAUAAAUUCCUUUUAUCCAAACUCAGAACAAAAAUCUUUUAAAAAAAAUAUAAACAUAAAAAAAUUCAUAUUCCUGAUUGAACUGAAACAAGUAUUGAAGAUAAAAUUAACAAUCAUGUUCUUAUUAUAUCCUCUAACAAAUUUUUAAAAUAUACAGUGUAAAAAUAGUGUGAAAUUAGUAUUAUAAUAUGUGGCACAGUUGAACAAUAAGUAGUAACACAAAAUCCAAAGUUUUUACAAGCUACCAUUUGAAUGAUUGUAAUAUAAAAUUUUAUUAUACUUAAUUUUGAGAAUUUUAAUAAAAUCAUACUAGAGUAAGCAUUAUGGUACAAUAUAUGUUACCUUCAAUUACAUGAUGCAUCAUAUUUUGUCAUAAUUAAUUUCUUUUUACUCAAGAAAAAAUUAUGCAUAAUAUUACUGGUUAAAAUUUAGAUGGUCAUAAAUGUCACAAAUACCAACUUUUGGUACCAUUUAUACACACACACACAAGGUUUUAACACUACAAGCCUCUCUGUACACAUAUAAAAUCAAAAUCAAAAACAUUUGUACCCAAGUUCUAAAAAAACAAACAACUGGUAUCUAAUCAUGAAAGAAAGGCAUAAAUAGAUGUGGUAUUGAGAACACUUUUAGAUAUGACAACUCUUUUUUUGGUUUUAUUUGUGACUCUUUUCUUAACCUCUUAAUGAGUUGACACAAUCAUCAUAAUAUCUAAUUCUAUGCUCUGAAAGUGUUAUCUACCAUCUGUUGUGGUGUUAUUGUAAAAAACUUCUACUUUUUUAUGGCAGCAACAAAUUGUUUCUUGAAAAAUCGAAAAAAAUUGCUUAAACAGUUGUCGUUAGUAAUUUAUGUUUUCUAAAAACUGUAGUAUUGAAUUUCAUUAAAGUACAAUAGUUUUUUAAUAUUCAUGAACUAUCUACUUUUAAAUUUAUAUUGUGCCAAUCUUGAUCGGAAUACUGUAUCUGUAGAAUUGCAAUUUAUAUAAAGAUUGACAUGACCAAAAAAUUGUAAUUUUGUACAGAAAAUGUAUAAGAUAACAAAUGAAUUGAUGAAUACAAUACAAUAAAUAAGAUUUACACUUCCCUCUUUUAGGAAAUGAAAGUUUUUUCUUUUUUUCAAGUUUUGUAUCAACUUAUGAUUUCAUUAGUACAACAAACAAUCAUAAUUGUGCACUUAUAAUUAUAAUUGAAGUGCUGCAAAAUGGUCUCGAUAAAUUUGAUGCAAUAAAAUUGAGGUUUAAUGGAUUUAUUAACAGAAUAUGACUAAUCAUUAAACUUCAAAAGUAAAUUUUUCUAAUUUAACCACCUACAUACAUAUUUACCAGAAGUAUAUUUUUUAACCAAUAUUAUGUUGUUUGUUGUUGUUUUUUGAAGUUGAAGAAUCAAAUUUUAGCAACAUGAUAAUUUUCCUAGAUUAAUUUUAUUGUAUUUGUUGUAGACAUAAUGCAAUGUGCACAGCAACAUAUAUGAUGGUGUUCUGUAAUAGAUUUGUUACUCUAUGUUGGUAUGUGUAUUUCAAAUUUAACAUCUAUCAAUUCACAUCAAGUAGAGUAGUAUUGUAUGCAUUGAUGAAAUGUUUGUACAGAUAACAAAUAAAAUAAAUAUUGAAUCCAAUUGUUUCUCAAACAUGAAAUCAACCUCAAUAGUUACUAUUUUAAACUAAAAAGGAACCAUAUAUCGCUGAAAAUAUAUAUUUUACGAGUAGUAUGCAAAUAAUAUGAUUGUGGUUAAUUGUGAUUACCCAUAUAAAUAACUUUAUUACUUUUAUCGAGAGACACAAACAAGAAAGAGUACAAAAUAAAUACACGUGAUGAGGGUUACGUCAAGAAGUAGCAUAAAAAAAAGCCACUAUUGCAUGCUUGAUUUGAUCAAGAAAAAACAACAAUAUUGGCAAUAAAUUUGUUUAUAAAAAGGCAUUGAAUGUAACCAAAUUACUUAGAGGGUGUAGCUAAAAGAAGAAAUAUCCAUCAUGUAUGUAUGAAAAAUAACAACACAUGACAAUCUGCUGAAAAGUUCAUGAAAUUGUUCCCUCAAAAUAAAUAUAGAUAUGCAGAGUAUCACUAAUUUCAAAAAAAAUAAAAAUAAAAAUGGAUUUCUAUGAUAUGCAUGAAGUAUUUUGCAAAGAAGCACACCGUGACAAAUAUGUGGGAAAUAAUCAUCAAAAUUAAAAUACAAAAUGAACACUUGUGGGUUGACCAUGAACUCAUUCACGUUUAUUUUAUAUUUCAAUCCUAACAUUCAAUAAUAUUAUUUAACAAAUUGCUAAUUGCAAAAUUGGAACUGCCAGCCCCACAGAUUGCGCAACAUCAUACCAUAUGGCAACAAUUACCAUUAUCGGGGUAAGGGUAGAGAACGCUGAAUUGAGUGUGCACAAGGUUGACGACCACGGAGGGAUUCGAACCCUCGACCUUCAGAUCCGAAGUCUGACGCGCUAAUCCACUGCGCUACGCGGCCUUAGGGCUUGUCGGCGGGAUAGAGUGAUAAUUUAAGAAUAUUAUAUCAGUUGAUCGAAGGCAGCAUGUCUUUAAAUCGAUAGCCAGAUUUUGUGCUUUGUUUCCCCAACUUUGGGCACUUCAUGCCUGCUAUUGAAAGAAUAGUUUAUUUAUUUAUUUAUUUAUUCAUUCAUUCAUUCAUUUAUAUAUAUAUAUAUAUAUAUUUUUUUUUUCAAGUAUUUUCAUUGUCCUGUCAAAUUUGUUGUUGUUGUUGUUGGUUUUAUUUAUUAUUUUGUUUGUGCAUUUGAAUUUCGAUUAUUUUUGUACCAAAGAGUGCACAACAGCAACUCGCGAUUCUUCGAUGCGUACACUGUUGUAAUAUGACAAGCCCCAAAGGUAUACGUGCAGAAAGUUUGCAGAAAACACUGUUAACACUAAUGCCAUCCCUUCCCAAAAAUAUCAGUUACAGAGGACCUGACAUACAGAAUACUUCUUUCUGUAGUUUAUGAUAUACAUAGAUAGAUAUUUUGUUAAGGCAUGUAAUGAAUACAGAUUGUGAGUGUUCCAUUGAGGAACACCACCAGCGAUGGCAAGGCCUCUUCAUGAGGCCCCUACAUGCGAUCUUGAGAGCUGCAUCCACUUUGACACCAAACCCAGCACAAUGCAACACUCCGUUUGUUUGAUUGUUUGAUGGCGCCAUCUACCUCCGCCUAACCUUAUAACAGGCAGCUUUACCGACAGAUCUGGCUCCGCCCCCAGCGCCGCGGCAUCCUCCGCCACGGCGAAUGGCAUCACAUCCUGAAACACCGCACUCCGCAGAGCACCCAUUCCGGAUGAUCAGGAAAUCAUGGGGGCGGGGAGAGUUUCUCGCAUGGCUCUGUCCAACAGGAUGACCAAUGGCAAGCCAUCGCUAACUUCGGAGAGACCAGUGCCUCCAUCUGCGCUGUCUUAUGCUGUCACAUUGUCCGCAGAUUCUAACAUUGUGCGAUGAGAAGCUCCUAUCGUAUGAUAAUUGUAUGUACAAGCAAUUGCGUUGAUCCGCACUUGGGAUCCUACCAUAUAAGUUCUCUACGUUUCUAGAUUCUAGAUUGAGCCCGUGUAUGCGAUGUCGAGAUUUGGUAACCACCGACGUCCUUGAAGGAAUUCGUCCACGCCGAACUUUUUGGCUUGUUCGGGGUACAGAAUCCUGCUCCACGGGACUCGAAGUUUGGCAUCCGAACCUGCACCAAAAUUAGCAUACUCGCCAUAGUCGACGUGAAGCAUUGAAGAUAUCUGUGCAUUCCACAACGUCCAUCCUUCGGCGGUCACCACUUUGCCUAAGCUCGAUUUGAUGUACAUUGUCCUUGCAUACUGGUGCCUCGGUCGCCCUAAAUAAGCAGUUCCAGCUUCGACCGAAUCUGAUGCAGCAUCGAUCGCACAUGCUUCGAAGACGAGCCCCGCGAAUUGCUGAACCAAAGGCGAGGCGAUGUCGCUUGCGGUGAAGGUGAUCAUAUCAUCAGGAUUGGGGGGUUUUGCUUGCAGGGUGCACUGCUGGAACACCGCGGCUGCGCUCCCAAAUACGAGGUCGACGGUGCCAACAAUCGUGCAAGAAGUGUAAAAUUGCCAAUUGACGUGUGCGUAGAGUGCGUUCUGAGUUUCAAGUGUCCAGAAUGUGGCACAGUAAGCACACGUCGACAGUAAUUUGUAGUGUAGCACGCAUUAUAAAACUCUGAUUCAUUUAUUUAAAAAUAAUCAAUAAACAAUAGACACAGAGUGAUGUUGUGAAAUGGGCAAGAGUACCUACCUGGUAACCUUCAAUGAAGACGUAUGCGAAUGCUGACUGAUGCGAGGUCACUCGAAGCGCCACGGCUUGUUCACCACUGGGUUCGGCAGUGUUCCGGAUAGUAAGGGCCUUGGCAACGAAUCCAUUACCAAGAACAGCUGCAAAAACGAAGCUGAUUACGUUGUCCAUCCUUGGAAUUAUUCGGUCAAAUGACUCUCUCUUGUACUCACUUUACUUAAACGUGUGUCUUAAUGUUCAAUAAUCACUCAAUGCAGUUUAUGAGAAAGCUGGGGGCAAUCAAGUUGCACUCACUAACUGUCGCUGUGAAUAUCGUUGACGUCUGAUCAACCGCGACGCUUCUGUUUCCAGUGAUGAUGGUCAUUCCAGCGCCGUCGCCCAAAAGUGUCACGUUUGUUUUGUCCCUUGGCACUUUCACUUGCUCAACAUAGAUUCCUGCCUUUAUGCGUAUUACAUAUCUCUUGCUUGAAUUAGUCGGAGCUUCAUCGAUCGCGGUUUGAAUUGAUUUGUGAUUACCAGAACCAUCGAGAGCGACUACUGAGUCCGGCGUGACGCUGCUGGUGCUGGUGAGUAGCUGUCGGUCUUUCUUGCUCAACCAGGUUGGAAAGACAUCAUGAUUGUCGUCGUCCAUUUCAUAUAUUCUCGUUCGCUCAUCAGGCGACAAUUUCGAAGCUCUAGUCAGCCCUUCCUGCCAUGUCCAGAAGGUUCACAGAGGUUCAAGAGAGGGGAAUAUAUCAAUUAUGGGAGCGCUCGCUCUCAAAAUUUUACACAGAAUUGAACUAAACUACUCACACUCAAACCACUCAAUUUGUUGACCCACACACAGGAGGAUUUUCAAGCCCUUGUGCUCUCAUACCGGAGCUGCUAGAAGGCGUCGUCGGGGAAGCGGGGUGCCUUUUGCGUUCGAACUAUUCAGACGCUGAAGCAGCGACAGUGCAUUUGACAGAAGUUCUGUGUUCCGGUCGAUAUUGACUUCACAUGAAACUUUCCGCUCUCGCAAGCCAUCCACGCAGGUGAAGUGAUAGGUCAAGGCAGCGCUAAGAGCUUGUUCCAGAUCACCCACUUGCGUGACCUCCGACGAAUCCACAGCAUGCAAACAUCUUCUCGUUGCGUCAAGCGUUUCUUGAUACAUCUCCACACACAUUUCCAAAGUCGAGUACUGGAUCCCAAUUCUGGAUGAUGGCCAUGAGUCUCGACACCGCGUAAGGUUAAGAUAUGUUUCAUUUGUGGAUUUAAGAGAGGCUUUCACGGAUUUUGAAGCAACAACUCGCGAAUUUGUCGUGUCUGAUCCAAAAAGUGUGUCGUUGCAUGCGCUUGGAUACCUGUGACGAUUGAGAAAGAUCACACUCCUAUCAAAUCCUUGAUUCAAACAUGUGACCACCUUCAAGGGUCUGUUUGUAAGUGUGUUAUUUGUUUUCUGUAUUUCUGUUCUCGUGUCCAUGAUAUGUGGCGAGUGAGAAAGAGAGAGAGAGAGAGAGAGAGAGAGAGCGUGAACUUACAGGGUGUUAUUGCAGAUGUCAUUUGAAUUAACAAAGAUUGAAUUGUUGUUGCUGCGGGACAUCCUGAAGCCGACAAAACAUCCUACAUACACAGCAGCAACUACGAAGACGACGAAAGCUGCCAUUGCUCUCCGACCCUUCUUCGAAAUCUUUGGGAUUUUCCAACUCUUCUUCUGCUCUUUCGCCUCUGGCUCAUUCUCUUGAUCGGCAUCUCUGAUGCUUGGACAAGCUGCUGCAGCACUGUUGUCCUGUGGGAUACCUUCGACGUCCACAGGCAAGAUCGCCGCGGGCAUAUUUUCUAAAACGUAUCCCUAACGUCCUUAAUCCUGUUAGAUGCUAAAUGCCUCAAUAUCUAAUGCUUCCGAACAUCUUUAACUCUCAAAGCUUCCUUACAUCAAAGACCUUCCACAAACGUCUAAACUUGUGCCCAAAUCGAGGCUCAAAUAACACGGAAUCGGCAUUCGAAACAAUCACUGCUAGAAGGUCUCGCCUUCGACAAGGUAGGCUAGAUCAAAAUCCGAGAACAAUGAGAACGAUAGCUAGGUCCAAAGCGGGUCAUCUCGUAGAAAUCCUCUUCACAAGCGCCACGGCGUCGUUGAAUCUGGUUUUCGCAGAAACUCACAGAUGACAUUUGUGGCGGGGGCAACUUUUGAAGAGAGUAAUCUGUAUGUAAGUUUUUUCUUAUCAGCCAGCUUGUAUCACUUGAAUCGACGCGAUGACCGAACAAACUGAUUCAGCACAAGUCCUACAUGUCGGAAGUCCAAUCACGAGUGAAAUUUCCACCGAGACCAACAUGCGAAGAAACAGCUGAUUAUAUAAUCCAAGAAAUCGUCAUGUCCAUGACAUCAUCACUUCUGAAUGUCAUCCUCCUUCCUGGAUACAGCUGCUCCACUCCGUUCAGCUCAGAAUGGGUCGAGUGCACAAGGGACCACUCGGUGAGAUCAUAGAUCCAUCAAUUUUUUUAUUUUGUUUUAUUUUAUUUUAAUAUAAAAGUCGGACCGCAACUUCCUCAUCCUUCGCAGCAAGGUUUUGCAGAGAAACGAAACAAGUAAGCCUCGUCACACCUCUUUUCCGACUUUCGUAUUGGACAUAAUUAGUAGUGGGUGAAAUGUGAAAAUUCUGCAGGUUGUCGACAAUCAACGUAGACCAAGAGAAAAGUGCGGAGGUGGGAGCAGAUAGCGAGGUGCAUCUUCGACAGUGAAUCACCGUCGCCCGAAAACCCCACUAGAACCGAAUUUGUCUGCAACCUUCCCGAGUCUAACAAGCUUAGCCCAGGACUAGAGUCGGAAAUCGGCCCCAUGCGGGUCACAUGCAACGAGGGUUGAAUUUCCCCCACAUGGCAAAGCUUCGCGGAAGGCAAAAGGAUGUGGACAUUGGAAUCCAUUGCGUGCCUAGCGCGCAAUCGCAGCUCGGGGAUCUUCCAUUCCUGGUCUUGCUCUUCCUCGCCGGAAGAGCAAGACCAGCGGGGCAGCAGCAAUACAAUCACUUCACCAUGAUUUAAGCUCAUUUUAUAAUUUGAUAUUUUAUUAUUAACUAUGCCAAUGGGUAGGUUAUAAAAGUGAUUUCCAGUUCAUUCAUACUAAAGUUAUGACAGGGGCAAGAACACAUGUUGUUUAGUAUUGAUUGUAAUAUUUUUUUUGAAAUAAAUCAAUUGUGUAUGAAAAUGUCUACAUUGGUUGUUGGGUAUGCAAAUGUUGUCGGGUUCAUAGGUUCGAUGUUAGCCAUAUCAUCUUGUAGUUUUUCAAUGAUCUCUUCAAGAUUCACUUUAGGGUGACAUUCAAAGGAAUAUAACUUUGAAAAAAUGGGAGAUGGGAAUCAAUAUGAGCCACUGAAAAUAUAGUGGUUAAAUGCACAUGUGACACUUUUGGUGGAGAAAUAAUCAGUUUCUGUACACAACUAGAGGAUAUCACUCAAUGCACAGAACAAACCUACCACUAUCUGAUUCUAUUGUAUAUUCUUUAAAUGAUUAAUUUCAUUUUUUUACUAUUCUUUUAGCAAGUUAUAUCCUCUUAAAAAAGAAUUCUUGGCAUUUUAUAAUUGGUAUUUGAGUUCUCUAAUAAUUUUCUAUCCACCAAUUCUCUACAUUUUAUGCUACUCAUUGGAGCAAAAACAAUUUGAUUCUAUCUUCUGUAAUACCAUAUGUAAUAUUUAACCACUCUUUCUUAUUUAUUUGUUUAUCUGUCUUUUAAAACACAAUUAUAGUUCAAAAUAGUAUUAUUAUUAUUAUUAUUAUUAUUUUAAUUUAAUACAAGUCUUCUUGUUAUUAAUGUGUAUCAUAUCUUAACCAUACAAAACCACUACAAUAAGCAUUCAAGGUUUUUUUAUAUAUAUAUAUAUAUAUAUAUAUAAUAGUGGGUACUUUAUGAUCUUUUUAAUUUUUUAACUUUUUUUUUCUAUGGCAGAAGUAUCAUUUUAAAACCUCUUUUGAUAAUAUCAUUUUAAAAUUAAACUCUUACAAAUAUAUCCUGUUUCUUUAAAAAAAUAUAUUAAUUUAAUCUAUUUAGAACCAUGUCAGAUAUUUUGAAGAUCUUCAAGUUUAUCUAUUGCAUCAUUACAACAUAUAAACUACAGAUUAAACCUACAGCUCAAAUAGAUAAACAACAAAUGUAAACAACUUAAACAACAAAUGUAUUGCGUCCAGAUAUUUUGAUGUAUGAAUUAAAUAAGGAACUAUUAAAAUUUGAGUAUAUAUAUAUAUAUAUAUAUAUGUUUCUUAAUUGAAUAAUAAAAUGUUGGAAGAAGUAGAAUAGAUAUUGUGAUUUUUUGUGGAAUUAGAAUGAUAACAAGAUAACAAAAAUAAUACUAUGUAAAGAAGAAGAUUUCGUUGAAGUGAAGAGUUGAUAGUAGACCAUAGUUAUAGCCAGGCGUGGCUCUGAAGCCAUGUCAAUUAAUUCGGAUAUGCAGAAACACCAGAAUGAAUUGUGAAAGGGGACACCUUGAAUGAGCUCCAGCCCCAAUUCCAUUCACAGUGUAGCAACACACACAGAACACACACACACUGAACAUCACUUCGAAGCCCCUUUCAAUGCGAGUUUGUCUAAUGUUCCAAGACUCCUAAAUUUUUGGGUACUAAAGUGAGAGGAGCCACCAUCUGGCAAAAUGGUGGCCCUAAUUUUCUCUCGUCAGCCCGGAUGAAGGAUGAGAUAUUGUUCCAGUGCGUGACAACAUCGCCAGCGUCAUGCCUUUCUCCGUCCCACGUGAUCACUUCCUCCGACGCGACAAUUCUGCCCUUGUGCCAAUACUUAGUCCAAUCCAUACGGAACCAGCAUAGGUCAUCAUUUACUUCAUGAUCUAACAGUGUGCUUAUGUUUCACAAUUCUGUAUUUCACGCGUUCUCUGCUCAGACUGCUUUGUUCGACCGCGUAACCCUUCAGACAACCUAAAUGACAAACUCGCAAUAACCAUCUUAAUAACACCAAUUCAACAAGCGACUCUAAGGACGGGCUACCUACAGCAAGAUUACCUUUGUCGUGACCGCAACACAGAUCUGAUCGACACGCACGUUGUGGAGAACGAGAAGGACCGCGCCACCAGAAAUGGAACGCAAGGCUCUCAGUUGACAAAGCAAGGACCGGUAGGGUUCCGGAGAGCUUCCCCUGUUUCGUCGUCGAGGUUUUUGAUUGCGCUUCUCGCUCUUGUGCAAUCUCUGGCGUUGCUGCUCUCUCUCUCUCUCUCUCUCUCUCUCUCGCUCUGCAGAUUUCCAUCUCUCAGACACCGAUUCUGCUCUACGUAUGUACCGCUGUCAGUUUUCGAUUCCACUUCAUCUGCCCAGCUGAUCUUUUCAUACUGCGUGUUGAUUACCCCGAUUAUUGAGGUGUUGUUUUCUUUCCGGAUGUGGAGGAUCGUUCUUGCCCCUGAGCAAUUUGAAGUGGACGCUCGUCGUUACUUUGUCCAUGUUCCUCCAUGGUUAGAAUUUACGUAUGAUUUCUACCCAGAGGUCAUGAAAGCAUUAAUUGGAUUGCAUCUGUGACUUGAAAUAGGUUUGCGGUGGCUUCAGCUGUUACUUUUUUGUUCGUCUUCUUCUGGUUUUGCUGCCGUGUGAUCUAGCGAAUACAUGAUCUAGUGAACUUCGUAAUGCUAGAUGUCCCGAUUCGUGGUUUUGUUGAUUAAGUGGAUUUCAGUGUGGUGAAUUUUAGUAGCUUCGAUGGUAUAUAGAAUUGGUUCUUGAUAACCGUGCAGCGUCUCACAUGAUGGAUGACUGCUUGGUUAGUCCCCGGAUUUUUUGUUUUGUUUUUUCCUGUUUCGACAGUUUGCUUUUUCUCGUUUUGGAUCGGUUCUGUGAACGUUGAAGAGCGGGUCAUCAGGAUUUUCAUUUAGGUCAUUUUGUGGGGUAGAAAACUGUGGUGCAGGAAGUACCAGUUGCAGAUCGAGGUGGAAAAAUGAUUGCAAGGUGGGGGGGGGGGGGACAUAUGACUCCGGACCCAAUACAAAGGUCUCGUAAGGCUUGUAAAGGUAGUUUGUUUUGUCGUUGAGAGAGAUGCCAUCCAUAACCAUGUUUGUUUAUUCACUCUCUCUUCAACACACACACACGUGUUACUGCCGCAAACCUGUUAUCAUGUUUUGCCAUUAUUGAUUUUGUCUCUCUUUUAAAUCGUGGGGUCCUGGAAAAAAAAGCCUCUUGAAAACGAAGAAAUGAGGCGAACUUGUGAUUGAGCCCAUUGUUGGGUAUUGUUAUGCUGCUUCAUCUAAUCAUCAGUAUAUCUUGGGUUCGUUUGUUGCUUUUGUUCAGGUUGGUCAAUCUUCUGGGCAAAUUUACUUAAUAGAAUUUAAAUCCGAUGAUAGCAAGUCCUUUUUUUUGGGUACAGGUAUGAUUAUCCCCUUGACCAACCGAUCCUUAGAAACUGGUUGAUUCAUUGCCUCUAGAAAUAUUUCACCCAAGCUUGUCUGCCACAUUGUACUGUCUUUUAAUGUGAAGGGCAGUUUUGGUAGGCUCAUCAACUAUUAUUUUUCAUGCAUUCAAGGAAUGAGCAGAUGCCGUUUCUAUUAAGUGCCAUGAUGGUUGCGCCUACUUGGCUGUCAUUCAGUUCAAUCGUAGAUUAUUGCAUUCAUUUGUUUGAGUACUCCAUAUAUACUAUAUAUUCUAUAUACAAUUAAGUGUGUACUAUUAUGAUAUGAAAGCAUACAAUUUUAAUUUUAAUCUAAAUAUGGAAGCACAUAAGGAUAUAGAUGUUAAUCUUUACAACUUUUUAAUGCAUUACUUAAAUCAUCUAUCAAUCAAGUGAGUGUUGAUCAAGAUGCACCUUGUAUCUUUGAUGCUCAAAAUUAAUGUGUCAUGUUACAUUUUUUUUUUUGUGAAAAUUUAAAGCCACACUUCAUCUUAUUAAUGAUUUUCUUAUUUUUGGUCUUAUUUUAAGAGUUUUUUUAAAUCUUUAAUAAUAGUUAUUUUAAUUUUAAUUUUUAAACUAUUUUUUAAUUUUUUAUAUUAAUAUAGUAAUAAUAGAAUGUAUUGAAUCUUUAGUUAUUUUAUUUUAUUUUGUUUCAUGACGUUGAUAGAUUAAAAUGAAUAUGUUAACAUUAUCAAAGUUUUAUCUUUUUUAAAUUUAGAGUAGAUUAUUUUUUUUUCUUGAUAAAACAUAAGUAUAUAAGAAGUUGUAGAUUACCUAUUUUGAAAUUGGUAUUAUUUUUAAAAUUUUCUUGAUUCUUGAGUCUUUUCUUUUAUUUAUUCCAAUGAUAUUAGUUUUUUUUUUUUUUUUUUUUUUUUUUUUUUUUCCAUUGAAAUUUUAUAGCAAGACUUGUUCAAAUGAAUGAUGCAAUAGUACAAAUGUAAGAACAAAUAAGAGAGUUAAUACUUGCAAUGCAUCAAUUU
RNAcentral lists this long non-coding RNA (20285 nucleotides) under Physcomitrium patens. RNAcentral describes it as "long non-coding RNA (PPAT_LNC010988)". Lineage: Eukaryota; Viridiplantae; Streptophyta; Bryopsida; Funariales; Funariaceae. The record is from RNAcentral.